This 250-nucleotide ribosomal RNA is filed under the name uncultured bacterium. Its description in RNAcentral is "partial 16S ribosomal RNA". It matches the Rfam family "Bacterial small subunit ribosomal RNA", at positions 803 to 1058 of the family's 1533-position model. The record is from RNAcentral.
UAAACGAUGGACACUAGGUGUGGGAGAAUACGUCUUCCGUGCCGCAGCUAACGCAUUAAGUGUCCCGCCUGGGGAGUACGGCCGCAAGGCUAAAACUCAAAGGAAUUGACGGGGACCCGCACAAGCAGCGGAGCAUGUGGUUUAAUUCGAAGCAACGCGAAGAACCUUACCAGGGCUUGACAUGUAGGUGAAGCGGCGGAAACGUCGUGGCCGAAAGGAGCCUACACAGGUGGUGCAUGGCUGUCGUCAG